ACGAGCGGCGAACGGGUGAGUAACACGUGGGUGAUCUGCCCUGCACUCUGGGAUAAGCUUGGGAAACUGGGUCUAAUACCGGAUAUGACCGCAUGCCGCAUGGUGUGUGGUGGAAAGAUUUAUCGGUGCAGGAUGGGCCCGCGGCCUAUCAGCUUGUUGGUGGGGUAAUGGCCUACCAAGGCGACGACGGGUAGCCGACCUGAGAGGGUGACCGGCCACACUGGGACUGAGACACGGCCCAGACUCCUACGGGAGGCAGCAGUGGGGAAUAUUGCACAAUGGGCGGAAGCCUGAUGCAGCGACGCCGCGUGAGGGAUGAAGGCCUUCGGGUUGUAAACCUCUUUCAGCAGGGACGAAGCGUGAGUGACGGUACCUGCAGAAGAAGCACCGGCUAACUACGUGCCAGCAGCCGCGGUAAUACGUAGGGUGCGAGCGUUGUCCGGAAUUACUGGGCGUAAAGAGUUCGUAGGCGGUUUGUCGCGUCGUUUGUGAAAACCCGGGGCUCAACUUCGGGCUUGCAGGCGAUACGGGCAGACUUGAGUGUUUCAGGGGAGACUGGAAUUCCUGGUGUAGCGGUGAAAUGCGCAGAUAUCAGGAGGAACACCGGUGGCGAAGGCGGGUCUCUGGGAAACAACUGACGCUGAGGAA
This 648-nucleotide ribosomal RNA is filed under the name Rhodococcus sp. (in: high G+C Gram-positive bacteria). Its description in RNAcentral is "bacterial SSU rRNA". It matches the Rfam family "Bacterial small subunit ribosomal RNA", at positions 91 to 753 of the family's 1533-position model. Lineage: Bacteria; Bacillati; Actinomycetota; Actinomycetes; Mycobacteriales; Nocardiaceae. The record is from RNAcentral.